CAAAAAUAUUGUUAUGAGAAUGAGUAAGAUUUGGGAAAUGCUGGCCUAGAGCUUGGAUUCCGGGAUCGAACAGACUUAGAGCCAAGCGUCAGACCCAUCGUGCAUCUACGAGGAAACCGGGGAAAAGUUGCUUCACUUCUGUGGCCUUCAGUUUUCUCACCUGUAAAAAGGGGCCGAGACUGGGACCAACCUCGUAGGAGAUUUCGAGGAAUCCUUGAGAUCGAUAGUGUACGUGAGACACUCAGCGUGGCGUCUGAUGCGAGUGAGCAUUCAUUCCGUUAGCUGCUCAUAACCUGUAUUAUUUUUCACAGGAAAGGAAGCAAAGGCGGUCCAGUAGUGGGCACAGCGAGAGCAAAGGCCCGGAGGGUUGCAAGAUGGCUGCUUCUGCUCCAGACAUCCUAUCCCCGUUUAAGGCAGGAGGAGAACAAUGGAGCCAGCAGACUUUGUCUGGCAUCUCAUUAGUCACAACCAUCCAUGGGAACCCCAGCUGCAACGGAGGCGGAGAAGGGAAGUGUUUUGCUCUUGCAGCUUCAGAAGAGGGGGUAAAUAAAUGAGAAUGGGGUUGGGAAUGGCUGUCCAUGAAGUGUUGGUUUAAUGUCACUUCUUCCUGGAAGCCUCCGCUGGUUCCCUAGCCCAGACCAGAUACUGCCGUUGUACGCCCUCCUAGCACGCUAUCCUCUUCUUCGUGCCCUUGUCACGACUGUAACCUAUUGCUUUACUCGUAUGAUUGAUUGAUGGGCAUCUGGUUCUGUCUCCGGGCUGGGUGUUCAGUGAGUUUCCCGAGUUCCCGCCUGUUUCUCCAGAUCCCGGCACGGUGCCUGGUACACAGGGGACCUCGGCAACUGUUUGUGGAUUGCCUGCUCCCAAAUCCUUCUUCCUAGAGCCCAGAGGCCUGCCUUGUCUGGCUGGGAUCUUUCCUGCCACCCGGGGGAAAAAGAGCCUCCUCUAGUCAUCACUGUCCCAGCAGAGGCCGGCCCAGUUUCGUCAUGGCUUCUACCCAGCUUCAGUUUCUGGAACGGGUCCAUUGGAGUGUCAACCGCACCUCUGUCGGCCACGUGAUGAUGAGGAGAGGAAGCUCAUGUCCAGGGACAGGGAUGAGGACUUGCCCAUCGCUUUGGGGGACACCAUUCAACCCACGACACUGAAUCUGAGGAAUUGAAAGAAGACCUGGAUGGGUGGAGUGUAAGGACCCGGGGUCCUGGUUGUGGGCCGGGCCAGGUCUCACAGACGUGAAGCCAUGAGGAGCGGGCUUCAGGCAGGAAAGUGGCAGAAUCUGACUCAUUCUUUCAAGUGAUCAAAGAUGUGCAGGAGAGGGACACCGUGCAGGUCCCCGAGGUCGUCAGUGAGACACUGCUGUCUGAGUCUGGGGACUGGUGGUCGAGAUGGAGACAGGAGAAGUGGUGCAAAGGGUAUUCUGGUUGGGAUGGGUUUGAUCCGGAGAGUGAGGGGGGCAGGGGGGUCGGGGAUAACGCACACGUUUCUUCCUUUGCUGUGGAAACUGAUAAGGAUGCACAACACUGGGAGAGGGGCGGGGCUCGGGAAGAUCUCCAGCUCAGUUUUGAGCCUGUUGAAUUUGAGGCGCCCGAGGUUGAUUGCUUCCAAAAUGGCCCCAGUUAUUCUCCUCCUGGUGUAGAUGCUCCUUUACCGUGUGACUUUGCAGCAACUUCCAUCAGUGAGUGUCCACUCCGUGAAUGUGGGUGGAAGGUGUGACUUACUUUGGCCAAUAGGACAAUAGCAAACAUGACAGAAACAGACGCUCGAAGGGUGUGUGUGCAUGGUGCUCCAUUCUACGCUCUCAG
This is a long non-coding RNA of Equus caballus (horse), 1799 nucleotides long. The record is from Ensembl. Lineage: Eukaryota; Metazoa; Chordata; Mammalia; Perissodactyla; Equidae.